GUGAAUCAUCAAAUUUUUGAACGCAAAUUGCACUCUCCGGUUCUCCGGGAGAGUAUGCCUGUUUGAGGGUCAGCCUAAAAAAAAUCGACAUUGUUGCUGUUAUUUAAUGGUGACUUUCGUCGGAGAUUGGGUUAUCUUAAACCUUUUUUUUUUUGUGUUAACGACUUAAAAUUUUUUUUCUCAAUUCCAUAAAAGUUUUUA
This 201-nucleotide unclassified non-coding RNA is filed under the name Glomerales sp. RNAcentral describes it as "partial contains 5.8S ribosomal RNA and internal transcribed spacer 2". The stretch from base 1 to 72 matches the Rfam family "5.8S ribosomal RNA", at positions 84 to 154 of the family's 154-position model. The record is from RNAcentral. Lineage: Eukaryota; Fungi; Glomeromycota; Glomeromycetes; Glomerales; Glomeraceae.